This 500-nucleotide ribosomal RNA is filed under the name uncultured bacterium. RNAcentral's name for it is "partial 16S ribosomal RNA". It matches the Rfam family "Bacterial small subunit ribosomal RNA", at positions 30 to 523 of the family's 1533-position model. The record is from RNAcentral.
AUUGAACGCUGGCGGAAUGCUUUACACAUGCAAGUCGAACGGCAGCACGGACUUCGGUCUGGUGGCGAGUGGCGAACGGGUGAGUAAUGUAUCGGAACGUGCUCAGUCGUGGGGGAUAACGUAGUGAAAAUUACGCUAAUACCGCAUACGAACUAUGGAUGAAAGCGGGGGAUCGCAAGACCUCGCGCGAUUGGAGCGGCCGAUAUCAGAUUAGGUAGUUGGUGGGGUAAAGGCCCACCAAGCCAACGAUCUGUAGCUGGUCUGAGAGGACGACCAGCCACACUGGAACUGAGACACGGUCCAGACUCCUACGGGAGGCAGCAGUGGGGAAUUUUGGACAAUGGGCGAAAGCCUGAUCCAGCCAUUCCGCGUGCAGGAUGAAGGCCCUCGGGUUGUAAACUGCUUUUGUACAGAACGAAAAGGUUUCUACUAAUACUAGGAGCUCAUGACGGUACUGUAAGAAUAAGCACCGGCUAACUACGUGCCAGCAGCCGCCGUAA